This 399-nucleotide RNase P RNA is filed under the name Crocinitomicaceae bacterium. RNAcentral describes it as "RNase P RNA component class A". It matches the Rfam family "Bacterial RNase P class A". From Rfam's summary of the family: Ribonuclease P (RNase P) is a ubiquitous endoribonuclease, found in archaea, bacteria and eukarya as well as chloroplasts and mitochondria. Its best characterised activity is the generation of mature 5'-ends of tRNAs by cleaving the 5'-leader elements of precursor-tRNAs. Cellular RNase Ps are ribonucleoproteins. RNAcentral also lists the same sequence under 1 other name. Lineage: Bacteria; Pseudomonadati; Bacteroidota; Flavobacteriia; Flavobacteriales; Crocinitomicaceae. The record is from RNAcentral.
AAGGCAAAUCGGUUUAUCGCUGUUCGUCAGAUGACGAAGAGAGGAAAGUCCGGGCAACGUAGAGCGGCGUACUUCCUAACGGGAAGGUAUUGCUCCGAUUCUGUCGGAGUGGUAACAGAAAGUGCAGCAGAAAAUAAGUAGCCUUCGGGUCAUAGUGAAAAGGUGAGGUAAGAGCUCACCGUGCAGGCAGUGAUGUACUGUAGCUAGGCAAACCUUACGCGUUGAAAGGCCAUGUAUACCGGGGAUUCACGUUCACCUUGUGUGGAUGUGUAAAAGGGUUGCUCGCCCGAUCCCGGAGGGUAGGCUGAUGGAUCCCGAUUGUGAAGUCGGGGCUAGAUAAAUGAUAAACAUCUGGUGGAAACACCGGAACAGAACCCGGCUUAUAGAUUUGCCUUUUCU